Molecule: long non-coding RNA, 3125 nt
Filed under: Ornithorhynchus anatinus (platypus)
Lineage: Eukaryota; Metazoa; Chordata; Mammalia; Monotremata; Ornithorhynchidae
Description: lncRNA (ENSOANG00000037410.1)
Source: RNAcentral
AUGUGUCCGUUUAUUGUUCUAUUGCCCUGUCCCGGGGGCCUAGUAGAGCGCUCAGCAUCCGGUAAGCGCUCAAUAAAUAUGUUUGAAUUGAAAAGAGGAGACAGUGAGGUGGGAUGGGGUGGGCGUCCGUGUAUUGACCUGGGUGUUGUGGGGAGGAUCAGUCGGGCGGGUCGAGCCAGAAGAAGAGGCCCGGCAGGAGGAGGAGGAGGAGGAGGGACGUCCUCGGGCGGCACUGUGUUCCCGUCUUCGACAGCGGAGCGGAAGCAGGAGGAGGGUCAAGGGCGGACCGAGCGGGGCCGGGGUCCGCUGAAGCCGCCACUCCCCCAGGCGCACGGCCGUGGUGGUGGUCACCCCCAAAUCCCUCCACGCUGCGUCCACCCAGGCCCAGGACCGAGUCCACCGCUAUAUGGGGGUGGGGUCCCCUUGCCCCAUGGGCGCACACGGGGUCGGUUGUUGUCUUCUGGGGAGGGGGCUUGUGAGGUGCUUCUCUCUAGGAAUCCAAGCCCUGGGGGGUCCCAGGACAUCCCAGGUCCAGGGGUUCUCACUCCAGGGGUCCCAGCCCAGGUGGGGAGGGGGGUCUCGGUUCUUUUCUUGGGGUCCCGGCCCGCGAGGGGCUCAAGUCCUUUCUGGGAAUCCCGGCCUGCGGGGGUAAGGGGGCAUCUCGACUCUCCUCUGCUCUUCUCCAGGGGUCCCAGUCACGGGGGUCUCGAGAAACAGCACGCGCGCAGUGGAUAGAGCACAGGCCUGAGGAGGUCAUGGGUUCUAAUCCCCACUCUGCCACUUGUCUGCUGUGUGAUCUUAGGCAAGUCACUUCAUUUCUCUGUGCCUCAGUUACCUCAUCUGUAAAAUGGGGAUGAAGACUGUGAGCCUCACGCGGGACAACCUGAUUUUACCCUGUAUCUACCCCAGCGCUUAGAACAGUGUUCUGCACAUAGUAAGCGCUUAACAAAUACCAUCGUUAUUAUUAUUACCUCAUCUGUAAAAUGGGGAUUGAGACAGGGAGCCCCAUGUGGGAGAGGGACCGUUUCCAACCUGAGGGUCUUGUAUCUACCCCAGCAAUUAGAACUGUGCUUGGCACAUAGUAAGCCCUUAACAAAUACUGUAGUGAUUAUUAUUAUUAUUAAUAAUAAUAAUAAUUAUUAUUAGAGGAUCUUGGUUCUUCUCCGGGGCUCUCCUCCGGGGAUCCCCCUCCUCCCCCGUCCCCCGGACGUAAUGCUCAUCCUGCGGUCAGGCCAGGCCGUGGGUCACGGGAGGAGAGACCUUACCUCUGUCCACGCUGGAGAUCGGGGUCGCUCAAUAGAGAUCAGGUCGGAAGGUCCAGGGAGGCCGGGAGCCCCUCACCCAUUCCUCCGGGGUCCCCUGGCCACCCCAAGCCACACGCCAGUGGUGAUCGUUCUCUCCUAAGCGUUUAGUACAGUGCUGGGCACGCAGUAAAUUCCGGCGAUUGAUUAAUUCUGGAUCUGGAUCCUCCUUUCUGGUCACUGCCUCCUCCGGGCCCCGAUCAGGCCUCCCCUCUGGAUCCAGGACUCCGAAUAAUAGUAAUCAUAAUAAUGAUGGUAUUUGUUAAGCGCUUACUGUGUGCCAAGCAUAGUUCUAAGCUUUAGGGGAGAUACAAGGUAAUCAGGUUGUCCCACCUGGGGCUCACGGUCUUCAUCCCCGUUUUACAGAUGAGGUAACUGAGGCACAGAGAAGUGAAUCGGCCGGCCCAAGGUCACGCGGCAGACAAGGAGCAGAGGAGGGAUUAGAACCCAGGUCCUCUGACUCCCGGCACUACGCCACGCUGUACCGGCCCCGGCCGCCCCCUGGAACCGGACCCAGAGGGAAGGGGUGGCUGGGCGGGCCGGGGGGCAGCCCGCCCGAGGUCUAACCGGUGCCGGAUUUCGGCUCAGGCCCCAGCCCCGCUCCGCCUCGCCCUGCCGAUGGAGGCAGGGGGGCAGGGGGCUGCUUCUAAAGACCCCCGGGCUGGGCCUUGUUGGACCCAACCAGGUGCCUUGGGGCGAUGGUCAAGAUCAUUAAUGAAAUCGAGGCACUUCACGUAAUAAUAGCGAUGCCCUCCCUCCUCAAAUCCGCAAUCACCCUCCCCCCGUUUCAAAGCCCUACUGAAGGCUCACCUCCUCCAGGUGGCCUUCCCAGAUCGAACCCUCCCUUUCCCUCUGCUCCUCUUCCCCUCCUCAUCUCCCGGACUCCUUCCCUCUGCUCUACCCGCCUCCCCGCCCCGCAGCACUUGUGUAUAUCUGUACGUAGCUAUAAUUCUAUUUAUUUAUUUAUAUUGAUGCCCGUUGAUCGGUUUGGAUGUGUGACCGCGAGCCGUGGUGGGCAGGGAUUCUCUCCCUUUUUUGCUCUAUUGUACUUUCCCAGCGCUUAUAACAGCGCCCGGCCCACAGAGAGGGCUCAAUAAAUCCGACUGACUGGACGAUUACCGAUUGUAUUUGUUAAGCACUUACCAUGUACCCGGCACUGUUCUAAACGCUGGGGUAGACACAAGCUAAUCAGGUUGGAUACAAGUCCCUGUUCCGCUUGGGGCUCACGGUCUUCAUCCCCAUUUUACAGAGGAGGUCACCGAGGCACAGAAAAGUUUAGUGGCUUGCCCCAAGUCACCCAGGCAGACAAGUGGCGGAGGCGGGAUCGGCGCCUCGGUGACCUCGUCUGUAAAAUGGGCAUGAAGACGGUGAAGCACCCUGUGGGACCCGGCCCGUGUCCGUCGUGUUUAGCCUCCGUCUCGCCCGGCGCUUACCCAAGGGCCUGGCAACGUAGUAAGCGCUCAACAAAUACCAUUUUAAAAAUGCGGAGAGGAAGAGGGUCAGGGCAAUGUCGGUGUCCCGCUCUAGACCGUCAGCUCGUCGUGGGCAGGGAAAGCGACAAUCGUCGGAUUGUCCUCUCCCCAGCGCUUGGCCCAGUGCUCCGCACAGAGCGAGCGCUGCCGAAAUACGAUUGAAUGGACGGGUAAGGCCGAAGCUGAGCCUGACCACAGGCCCCAAGACCACCCGGGGGUGGGGGGUCCUAUUGGCGCGACCCUCGGGGUCUCCCCUCCCUGGAGGUGGCAUCUGGGUAGAGGGUGGGGGUCUGCUUCUAUCGUCCUUCCAAGUUUUCCAGGGGUCCCUCCUCGGCCCCCAGACCCCCUUUCC